This 497-nucleotide ribosomal RNA is filed under the name uncultured bacterium. Its description in RNAcentral is "partial 16S ribosomal RNA". It matches the Rfam family "Bacterial small subunit ribosomal RNA", at positions 28 to 507 of the family's 1533-position model. The record is from RNAcentral.
GAUGAACGCUGGCGGCGUGCCUAAUACAUGCAAGUCGAACGAACAGACGAGGAUCUUGCGCCUCUCACGUUAGCCGCAGAGGUGUGUGUAACGCGUGUAUAACCUACCUAUAAUUCUGGUAUAUUUUCGGGAAACCGGAGCUAAUACCGUAUGAGCUCUUGAUGCGCGUGGUGCGAUAGUGAGAGACGGUUGUGCUGUCACGUAUAGAUGCAUCCGCGCUGCAUGAGCUAGUUGGUCAGGUAACGGCUUACCAAGGCUAGGAUGCGUAGCCGACCUGAGAGGGUGAUAGGCCACACUGGAGCUGGGACGCGGACCAGACUCCUACGGGAGGCAGCAGUAGGGAAUCUUCCGCAAUGGGCGAAAGCUUGACGGAGCAACGCCGAGUGAGUGAUGACGGUCUUCGGAUCGUAAAACUCUGUUAUUAGGGAAGAACAAAUGUGUACGUAACUAUGCACGUCUUGACGGUAACUAAUCAGAAAGCCACGGCUAACUACGUG